CUCCAUAAUAUCAAGAGAAUGCAUAUUCUUUUGAUUAAAGCUCCGGCGGUUAAAGAUGGGCAUGCGUGCCAUUAGCUUGUUGGUGAGGUAACGGCUCACCAAGGCAACGAUGGCUAGGGGUUCUGAGAGGAUGAUCCCCCACACUGGUACUGAGACACGGACCAGACUCCUACGGGAGGCAGCAGUGAGGAAUAUUGGUCAAUGGGCGAAAGCCUGAACCAGCCAUGCCGCGUGCAGGAUGACGGCGCUAUGCGUUGUAAACUGCUUUUCUGCUCCAAGAACCCCCCGAUCGUGAUCGGGGUUGACGGUAGAGCAGGAAUAAGCAUCGGCUAACUCCGUGCCAGCAGCCGCGGUAAUACGGAGGAUGCAAGCGUUAUCCGGAUUUAUUGGGUUUAAAGGGUGCGUAGGCGGGAUAAUAAGUCAGUGGUGAAAAUCCUGCGGCUUAACCGUAGAAUUUGUCAUUGAUACUGUUAUUCUUGAGUUCAGUUGAGGUGGGCGGAAUGUAUAAUGUAGCGGUGAAAUGCUUACAUAUUAUACAGAACACCGAUUGCGAAGGCCAGCUCACUAAGCUGAUACUGACGCUGAGGCACGAAAGCGUGGGGAGCGAAACAAGGAUUAGAUACCCUGGUAGUCCACGCUGUAAACGAUGAUCACUCGCUGUUGGCAAUACAAUCGUCAGCGGCUGAGCGAAAGCAUUAAGUGAUCCACCUGGGGGGUACGUCGGCAACGAUGAAACUCAAAGGAAUUGACGGGGGCCCGCACAAGCGGUGGAACAUGUGGUUUAAUUCGAUGAUACGCGAGGAACCUUACCUGGGCUUAAAUGCAGAACGACGGUUCCCGAAAGGGAUCCUUCUUCGGACGGACUGCAAGGUGCUGCAUGGUUGUCGUCAGCUCGUGCCGUGAGGUGUCGGGUUAAGUCCCAUAACGAGCGCAACCCCUAUUGUUAGUUGCCAGCGAGUAAUGUCGGGGACUCUAACGAAACUGCCGGUGUAAACCGAGAGGAAGGUGGGGAUGACGUCAAAUCAGCACGCCACUUAUGUCCAGGGCUACACACGGUGUUACAAUGGACGAUACAGAGGGAAGCUACUUGGCGACAAGAUGCUAAUCUCGAAAAUCGUUCUUAGUUCGGAUUGGAGUCUGCAACUCGACUUCAUGAAGCUGGAAUCGCU
This 1169-nucleotide ribosomal RNA is filed under the name uncultured organism. RNAcentral's name for it is "bacterial SSU rRNA". It matches the Rfam family "Bacterial small subunit ribosomal RNA", at positions 169 to 1336 of the family's 1533-position model. The record is from RNAcentral.